Molecule: RNA transcript, 2208 nt
Organism: Gorilla gorilla gorilla (western lowland gorilla)
Lineage: Eukaryota; Metazoa; Chordata; Mammalia; Primates; Hominidae
Gene: C11H2orf80
Gene name: chromosome 11 C2orf80 homolog
Exons: 11
Source: RefSeq, a predicted model, not a curated record
CUUGGUUUUUCAAUUAAUCAUUUAGAUGGGAAACAUAAGCCUACUCAGCAACCAGGAAAAAGCAUGUGUUCCUGAUGUCUGUGAGCACCAGUCUGAGAUGCGCGGAUGCUCCAGCAUGCCUCCAGAAGCAGAGAAAGAACAAAAGCACUGGAACCGGUCUCCGGUUGCCUCUAGACUCAGAGAAGCUGGGUCUAAGUGUAGUGUUAGCUGCGGAUACCUGCUCAGCUGGCUAAGCCUUUAACAUGGAAAGAAGGCUCAUAAAGAAGGAAAUGAAAAAGCUCUUGGGAGAUUAUAUUGGCAUCAGACUUCGGGAAAAUGAAUUUGACCCAAAAGGAAGACGGCAACUCACCUUUCUAGAUGAUAUGGCACACUAUGACUUGGCCAUCAGUGUUGCUUUGCAAUGGCUGGAUCCCUCAGAAGACUUAACUUGGCUGGAGUGGGAGGAACUGAAAAUACCAUUCCAUGGCAGACCCAUAUAUCCAAAUCGUAGAGAACGAGAAGCUAUGAUUUUAUCAUCUUAUGCUGGAAUCUUAAUGAACAGUAUCCCGAUUGAGGAAGUCUUUAAAAUUUAUGGGGCUGAUUCUUCUUCCGAUUCUGGUACCAUCAAGGUUCCCCGAGUUUCAUCUCUCCGCCUCUCCUUGCACCCCUUUGCCAUGUUAACAGCACCCAAAGCAGCAGCAUACGCCCGCAAACAGAGUGUCAAGUCAAGAAAGGGAACAACAAAUAAAAAUGCCACCAGCAUCUCUGCAAAGGGAGCAAAUGCCACAGAAUGGAAAUCAUCACAAAGGUUUUCAGACACACAGCCAAAGCACAAAAGUCUCACUCUGUCACCCACACUCGAGUGCAAUGGCACAAUCUCAGCUCACUGUAACCUCCACUUCCCGAGUUCAAGCGAUUCUCCUGCCUCAGCCUCCCGAGUAGCUGGGAUUACAGGUAUGCACCACCACACCCGGCUAAUUUUUGUAUUUUCAGUAGAGGUGGGGUUUCAUCAUGUUGUCCAGGCUGGUCUCAAACUCCUGCCUCAGCCCCCCAAAGUGCUGGGAUUACAGGCGUGAGCCACUGUGCCCGGCCGAAGGUAUUAGACUUUCUAGAACCAUAUCUUUGUUUCUGAAGAAUUUUUUGAAGAAUUUGAAAAAUAAGUUCAUUUUUUAUACGUGUUUGGAAGCAGCAAGUUUUAGAGAGCAAAACAAAACAACAAUGAAAAAACAGUAACAACUCCAAAAAUCACACACACAGACACAAUCUAGACUUUAAACUUAAUCACACACACACAAAAAGAUCUCUGAAACAGGGGUUUAUAGACACCCCCGGCAAGCCUCAUCAAUGGACCCUAUGUAAGGAGAACCUACCUCUAAAGAUUACUCAUUGGUAUCUUAUUUUUAAAUAUAAUUUUGUUCCAUAUAUGUUUUCUUCCACAACCAAUGAAGAUUCUUCGAUUCUUGAUGGAAGCAUAUCUUUUAUUUCCUUAGUAUUUCUCACAUGUAUAUAAAGUACUUCGCAGGCAGCAGAGAUUCAGUAACAAUUUUUAUUUAGUGAAUUGGCAGUAGGUAGUAAGCGAAUAGUCCUUAGGUGACGGUUCUCAAAUCUCUGUGCCCUGUCUAUAGUGAUCAAAGGCUCAGUUCUGGGGACCAGACCUUUCUAUAGGCUGAUUGAUGCUUGCGAGCCCAGGAGUGUCAAAAAAACAAAUGCCCAUGUUUUAGUAGGGCCCCAGGUCCUGAGAUGAAUCCCUUCCAGAAAGGCCCUUUCUUAAUCAAGCGACAGAAAACUCGUUUGUGUUUUUUCUUUCACACUUUAUUAUUUGUGCACUUUAGGCAUUUUUUCCAACUCUUUUAUUUUUUUGAGACGGAGUCUCGCUCUGUCGCCCAGGCUGGAGUGCAGUGGCGCAAUCUUGGCUCACUGCAAGCUCCGCCUCCCGGGUUCACGCCAUUCUCCUGCCUCAGCCUCCUGAGUAGCUGGGACUACAGGCGCCCGCCACCAUGCCCGGCUAAUUUUUUGUAUUUUUAGUAGAAACGGGGUUUCACCGUGGUCUCGAUCUCCUGACCUCGCGAUCCGCCCGCCUUGGCCUCCCAAAGUGCUGGGAUUACAGGCUUGAGCCACCGCGCCCGGUCCAACUCUUGGGUCACUUAGAAAAUUGGAAUUGUACCAUGGAACUUCAUAAUAGAUUCUCUGGGAGCAGACGAGAAGCAUCAUCUCAAAACCACAGCUCUU